ACGUAGGGACCAAGCGUUGUUCGGAUUUACUGGGCGUAAAGGGCGCGUAUGCGGCGCGGUAAGUCACUUGUGAAAUCUCUGAGCUUAACUCAGAACGGCCAAGUGAUACUGCAGUGCUAGAGUGUGGAAGGGGCAAUCGGAAUUCUUGGUGCAGCGGUGAAAUGCGUAGAUAUCAAGAGGAACACCUGCGGCGAAGGCGGGUUGCUGGGCCGACACUGACGCUGAGGCGCGAAAGCUAGGGGAGCGAACGGGA
RNAcentral lists this ribosomal RNA (253 nucleotides) under uncultured prokaryote. RNAcentral's name for it is "partial 16S ribosomal RNA". It matches the Rfam family "Bacterial small subunit ribosomal RNA", at positions 525 to 777 of the family's 1533-position model. The record is from RNAcentral.